This 591-nucleotide ribosomal RNA is filed under the name Endoconidiophora polonica. Its description in RNAcentral is "eukaryotic LSU rRNA". The stretch from base 227 to 380 matches the Rfam family "5.8S ribosomal RNA". Lineage: Eukaryota; Fungi; Ascomycota; Sordariomycetes; Microascales; Ceratocystidaceae. The record is from RNAcentral.
CUUGGUCAUUUAGAGGAAGUAAAAGUCGUAACAAGGUCUCCGUUGGUGAACCAGCGGAGGGAUCAUUACUGAGUUUUUAACUCUUAAACCAUAUGUGAACAUACCUUUUUUAGCUGCUUUGGCAGGUCUUGGUAAAACAAGUCCUGCCGGUAGUAUUUACAAAAACUCUUUAAUAUUUCUAGAGAAUUUAUUUUCAUUGCUGAGUGGCAUUAACAUAAUAAGUUAAAACUUUCAACAACGGAUCUCUUGGCUCUAGCAUCGAUGAAGAACGCAGCGAAAUGCGAUACGUAAUGUGAAUUGCAGAAUUCAGUGAAUCAUCGAAUCUUUGAACGCACAUUGCGCCUGGCAGUAUUCUGCCAGGCAUGCCUGUCCGAGCGUCAUUUCACCACUCAAGCUCUGCUUGGUGUUGGAGGACCCGCAUCUUGCGGGCCGCCGAAAUGCAUCGGCUGUUGAAUUUGCAGCUUCCCUGUGUAGUAAUAUUUAUUUUACGCUUUGAAACUCUUUUACAACAUCGCCGUAAAACCCCCCUCAAUUAUAUUUGAAAGGUUGACCUCGGAUCAGGUAGGAAUACCCGCUGAACUUAAGCAUAUC